AUGGCAUCGACGGAGGAGCAAGUCUUCCUUGAAUCGAGGAACCUGUCAUAUGAUGGCGCCCACCACCCCGACGCCUGCACCGACUGGGAUUACCCGGAAGACCCAGGCGACCGGCGGAACGGGGUGGAGGUUGCCGAGCUCCAUGACCAGCCGGCGCGCAUGAGCACCUCAGAUUCAGAUCCAUGUGAAGUCGCCAGGCGUGCCUUGGACCUCAUGUUCCCGCGGGAGGAGGACAGCGAUGACUGCUGGAGCACCUGGAGCGCACGGGAGAAGGGCAGUGAUGACGACGAUGAACAAGGAGGGGAAGAAGGCGAUGGUAGCACACAGGAGAGCAGCGAUUAUGAAGACGACGGCCGCAAUUGCCAAGUGAUACUAGCCGAGACAAACUGUCCAGGAAAGCUCUACCCCGAGAGCCAAGCAGAGGCCAUAGAACUCAGAUGGGCAGACUGGUUCUUCCAGCGGAUUGUAGAACACUCAAAGCUGUGCAAGGAGAUUAUGGCCCUGGGAGAUGAUGAUGAGACUCCUUUCCCCCCAUCUCCCAUGAAAGUGUUCCCUGAGGCAACAGCUUUAUGCAUCCUUGGGGCCAAAUCCUGCCACCACCGUGUUUACAGGACCCAUGACACUUCUACCACCCCAUCAACUCUUGGAUAUCGUGAACCAAGUCAUAUGCUACAAUUUUUCUCCAUGCGUCUAUCAAGCUUUGAAGCCUCGUAUUCCAUUAGUGUGUACGGAAUAUUCGCCAUUCGGGAUUACUUGGACCGGCGACGGAACUAUGUCUUUAACCGUCCCAGGGAUGAUGCUGUAACAAUUGAGAAGCAGGAUUCUUUUGUCGUACCACUUUGUAGCCCUUGUCGAGGAAUGUAUGUAUCGGAUAAGGCUUUAGUAGAAGUUGAUCUUUGGGUAAAGAAGGAAGGGGAUGAAUCAGAUGACAAGCAACUACUUUCUGCCUACGCUGAGAUUGAUGUCCAUGCUGAAGCUAAUGUCAUGUUUUAUUCACGAAUUUCUGGUGAUAAUUGCAAUUUGGACUUAAAAUACAAAGUCCUUUCAGAAAGUGUCGAGGCUGUAAUACAAGUAUAUGCAAAGGUGGACCAUCCUCACCAUGUGAGGUUCACUGCUUUUAGCACCGGAUAUGAUGACUAUCCUCAUCGUGGAGUUGUGCUGUUUGAUGACAAAUUAUUUGGUCACGAAAAAAUAUUCCAGCAUAUUGUUGCAGUGAAAGCAAAUGAAGAACUUCAUGUUUUUUUAGAAGUGAACGGUUCAGUGUUCCAGUGGACUUUUCAAGACGAACAUGUCGGAGCUGUUAUUUCUCCUGAUGACUCAGUCUUUGAGUAUGGCCAGUUCUUCGUGAGGGUGAUAUUUGCUCCAAAGGAUUGUCAGUGA
This 1380-nucleotide ribosomal RNA is filed under the name Triticum aestivum (bread wheat). RNAcentral's name for it is "partial small subunit ribosomal RNA". The record is from RNAcentral. Lineage: Eukaryota; Viridiplantae; Streptophyta; Magnoliopsida; Poales; Poaceae.